AGCGUAGGCGGGACUGUAAGUCAGGUGUGAAAAACUAUGGGCUCAACCCCAUAGACUGCACUUGAAACUAUAGUUCUUGAGUGAAGUAGAGGUUGGCGGAAUUCCUAGUGUAGCGGUGAAAUGCGUAGAUAUUAGGAGGAACAUCAGUGGCGAAGGCGGCCAACUGGGCUUUUACUGACGCUGAGGCUCGAAAGCGUGGGGAGCAAACA
Molecule: ribosomal RNA, 209 nt
Filed under: uncultured Eubacteriales bacterium
Lineage: Bacteria; Bacillati; Bacillota; Clostridia; Eubacteriales
Description: uncultured Clostridiales bacterium partial 16S ribosomal RNA
Rfam family: Bacterial small subunit ribosomal RNA
Source: RNAcentral